GCUGUUGAGACAAAUGAAAAAACCUUGGAUCAGCAUAAGGCAUAUAUUGCUGAACAACAAAGAGAGGUUGAGCGAGUUCGUCAAAGAGAAAAACUUCUAGUCAAGGCUGAGACCAUGAAAAAGAAAGUGCCAUGGAUAAAGUAUGACAUGAUGAAGGCAACAUAUUUGGAAGCCAAUGAAAAGGAGAAAGAUGAAAAGAAAAAACUGGAUUAUUAGUCAAUCAGGUUAUUUUGAAUGUCAGGAAGAGUUGUUUCAGGUGAAAAAAGCAAGAGAAAGGCAAUCUUAAUGCCAAACUUGAAAAGAUUGCUGGUCGUGUUGAUGUGAAUGCCCAAAAGCGCAUCACUACUCUGGGGGAGGCAGAAUCCUGGGUUAAAACAAAUUCAGGGUAAAAAUAUGAAACUUCUACAAGCAUUGAAAAGUUCCGGAUGUGACAAAAUAUUUGAAGCUUAUGAUUGGGUGCAAAGUCAUCGCGAAGAUUUUGAUAAGGAUGUUUAUGGUCUUGUGCUGUUGGAGGUACACACGAAAGCCUUGAUUAUAUAGUUUACUUAUUAUUGCUUUUUUCACAAUUAACUUCAUUUAAGUCUUUCUAAGCACAAACUCAGGUUAAUGUACCAACUACUUAGAAGGUCAUGUUCCUAGCUACAUUUGGAAGGUAGUUUUAUUUAAAUAUUAAUGUUUUAUUGUUUGGACUCCAUAUUUCUUUUUUCUUUGACGUCAAAAUCAAGGUUUUUGUUGAUAGUUCCAUUCAUAUAUUUUCUCCUCUUAAAAAAAAUUUCUUGUCAAAUCUUCUUUUUUUUCUUGCUUGGGAAACCCCAUGUAUGCUUGUUUCAUUUUUCAGUAAAGAAUAUAGUGAAGUAACUGCUUUAUAUCAUGCUUAUUAACUAUUGAAUUAGGCUAGAAACUGUUGAAAAUAUGACAGUUGUAAAUAUAUUGAUGAACAAGGUAGUGGGAGUGGAGACAUUACUAGCUCGAUUCCUCUGCUUGUGAAUGUUAAGACUGAUCUUCAUGAACCAAACUCUCAGGCUCAGCACUCUGGUCCUGGUCCUGGUCUUGCUCCUGGUUCUUGGAUAUAUUUGGACUAUAUUUACUAUUAUUAUUAUCUUUUCUUACCUAGUAUUGGAAGAGAUUUUAUUUUAAUGAUGGAAGUAAACUUUUAAACCUUUUUAUAGGAUAAGAUCUUUGACAGGUAAUUAAUUAAAUGUAUUAUUUUGUAAAAAGGUAUUGGAUAAUUUUCUAUUUCUAAGUAUGCUCUCUUCCACUGACAUUUUCAUAUUUUCAUUAUAUGACAAAGGAUAUUGGCUAAUCGCUAGUCUGCUACUUGCUCAAAGGAGAGGAAAGCUCGCUAUAUACAAGAACUUGAGCAAAAAGCGAAAAGUUCAGACUCUUCAAACAGGAGCAACAAGCUCAGUUACGUGACGGUAAGUAUGUAGUCUACUGCAUUAUUUUUUAGUCCUAAAAUAAUGUUUCAUUUUUAAUGCCAUAUCUUAUUGGUGUCAUCUAAAAUGUUAUACAUCACUGAAUGAAAAACUUAAGAAGGAAGUUGAGAGGCUAAAGAUUGCCACAGGGGAGAUGAUGAACCAUUUUGAAUCAUUUAACAUGGGAAUGCAUCAAAUGUCAUAUAAUUCAUCAAAUUAUUUUCCAGCCAUCUAAUGAUAUUUAUUUUUUCCUUUCCACCCAUACACCACAUAUAAUGAUUUUCUUUUACGAUUGUCUUUUAAACUGUAGAUAUUAGUCUCUAGUUUACUACUAACCUUAGUUUAAAGAACUAAAACUUUUAAAUUGAAAUUGACAAGUACGUAUUCCUUAGUUUAAAGAACUAAGACUAACUACUUAAGCCAUGACGCCAUAAGAAAAAUACAACUUUUAUAUAAAUCAUUUUUGUGACUGAAAACCACAUUCAUCCUUUUUAUUUCUUCUAUAACCUCAAGUUCUCUAUUUAUUUUAGUUUUGGUUUGACUUUAAUAGUGUUUAUUCUGUAUUGUGGGCUAAAACUCUACUUGGAUAUUUAAGAGAACCAAGACAAUUAUAUAAGAGAACUAAGGCAACAAGAAAUUCUUCUUCAAGUUGUUGGGUAUUAUUUUCUUUCUUGCUUGUAAGAAUUAUGUACAUUGAGGAUUUGAUGUAUUAUUUACAUUGAGAAUAAUGAAUUUUUAUUGAGAAUUAUUUAUUCUCAUGGGGAUUUGAUGUAUUAUUUACAUUUUAAUUGUAUGAAUAAAUGUAUAUGUAUAUGAAUU
This is a long non-coding RNA of Humulus lupulus (European hop), 2234 nucleotides long. RefSeq lists it as uncharacterized. Lineage: Eukaryota; Viridiplantae; Streptophyta; Magnoliopsida; Rosales; Cannabaceae. The record is from RefSeq and is a predicted model, not a curated record. The transcript is spliced from 4 exons.